AAUCAACAUUUAAUUUAUGAGAUAUUUUAUGUAUUUCCUUAUGAAAAUAGGAAAUUUUAAUUAUUUUUUCAUUAAAAUCCCAAAUUUAAAAGGAAUAAAAGAUCAUGGUCAUCCCUUCCUUUCUCUCUCUUAAAAAUAGCUCUUCCUUCUCUCUUCAUAUACUUGCCGCCGCUUUAGGUAUUCGUUUCCGCCGGAGCGUGUGGGCCACCAAAGCCACGGCGUCGGUUUGGCUUUUGGGCUUUGUUUAGUUAGCUAGCUUAGUUUUGUGUGUGAAGAGAUCUCAAGUUUCAGUUCUUUUCUUUACCUGAUUUUCCAUGGUCCAAACCGCGAUGGCUCUAAGCCACUCACGGUCAGUGUCGUGGUGAUCGGUUUGGGCGAUCCAAUUUUUUGGUUUCCUCCCACAGCUUCAAUGAUCGGAUCUAAGGCGAGAUCCGCCCAGGUUUGGGUUCCUCUUACCGGUUCAAGUUUACUUGACAUCUCCAACCAUAGUGAUUUCAAUGGCCCUGCUAGUUUGGCUGAGGUUCCACCGUUCCGUCACUCAUGGUUUUCCAAGGUUUUUCUUCUGAAGACUCUUAAUCACCAAGUGAUUCAAGUUGAUCGGAGUCUUUCUAGGUUGUGGUAUGUUCCCUUGUCGACAACCUGAUAGUUUUUGCGAUCUCGGACUGUUCGGGUAAAAGAAAAUUGAUUUUCUGUGUAAAAUCUUCAAUCUUGUUUAGAUCUGUUUUUAGUUUUUCAUCUGUCUCCCUCUGUUUGGGGCUUAGUUUCCGAGAGUUAAAAGUCCCGCCGGCUAAGUUUCUAAGGGUUAAAGUCCCACUGGCGUUUGUAUUACAACAUGUAUUCCACCCUUAUAUUUCACCUUUGGUUUCUAUAUCAUAAUUAAUUCAGACGAAAAAAGGAAUAAAAGAGCUUAUUCUAGGGUUUAAUAUUA
Arabidopsis lyrata subsp. lyrata is the source of this 928-nucleotide RNA transcript. RefSeq lists it as uncharacterized. The transcript has 2 exons. The record is from RefSeq and is a predicted model, not a curated record. NCBI's taxonomy places the organism in Eukaryota, Viridiplantae, Streptophyta, Magnoliopsida, Brassicales, Brassicaceae.